RNAcentral lists this non-coding RNA (21 nucleotides) under Caenorhabditis elegans. Lineage: Eukaryota; Metazoa; Nematoda; Chromadorea; Rhabditida; Rhabditidae. The record is from RNAcentral.
UUUACGACAAAACUACGGUAC